AGUAAGAUAAGCUAAAAAUAAGCUAUUGGGUUCAUACCCCAAAUAUAAAGAUAUUCUUUUCUUUCUA
Molecule: transfer RNA, 67 nt
Filed under: Nothopuga sp. 1 LP-2008
Lineage: Eukaryota; Metazoa; Arthropoda; Arachnida; Solifugae; Ammotrechidae
Description: tRNA-Met
Source: RNAcentral